RNAcentral lists this transfer RNA (67 nucleotides) under Heterocephalus glaber (naked mole-rat). It matches the Rfam family "tRNA". From Rfam's summary of the family: Transfer RNA (tRNA) molecules are approximately 80 nucleotides in length. Their secondary structure includes four short double-helical elements and three loops (D, anti-codon, and T loops). The record is from Rfam by way of RNAcentral. Lineage: Eukaryota; Metazoa; Chordata; Mammalia; Rodentia; Bathyergidae.
GGGGAUUUAGCUCAGUGGUAGAGUGUUCUUAGCAUGUGUGAGGGCCUGGGUUUGAUUCCCAGCCCCA